This 253-nucleotide ribosomal RNA is filed under the name uncultured bacterium. RNAcentral describes it as "partial 16S ribosomal RNA". It matches the Rfam family "Bacterial small subunit ribosomal RNA", at positions 524 to 776 of the family's 1533-position model. The record is from RNAcentral.
UACGGGGGGGGCAAGCGUUGUUCGGAAUUACUGGGCGUAAAGCGCGUGUAGGCGGCUCUGCAAGUCGGAUGUGAAAUCCCACGGCUCAACCAUGGAAGUGCAUUCGAAACUGCAGGGCUAGAGUUCUGGAGAGGAAGGUGGAAUGCUUGGUGUAGAGGUGAAAUUCGUAGAUAUCAAGCGGAACACCGGUGGCGAAGGCGGCCUUCUGGACAGUAACUGACGCUGAGACGCGAAAGCGUGGGGAGCAAACAGG